AGGUGGUGCAUGGUUGUCGUCAGCUCGUGUCGUGAGAUGUUGGGUUAAGUCCCGCAACGAGCGCAACCCCUACGUUUAGUUGCUAACGCGUGAAGGCGAGCACUCUAGACGAACUGCCGUUGACAAAACGGAGGAAGGUGGGGAUGACGUCAAAUCAUCAUGCCCCUUAUGUUCUGGGCUACACACGUGCUACAAUGGCCGGUACAGACGGACGCAAAGCCGCGAGGUGGAGCAAAUCCUAAAAAGCCGGUCUCAGUUCGGAUUGCAGGCUGCAAUUCGCCUGCAUGAAGUCGGAAUCGCUAGUAAUCGCAGGUCAGCAUACUGCGGUGAAUACGUUCCCGGGCCUU
RNAcentral lists this ribosomal RNA (347 nucleotides) under uncultured Pelotomaculum sp. RNAcentral describes it as "bacterial SSU rRNA". It matches the Rfam family "Bacterial small subunit ribosomal RNA", at positions 1036 to 1382 of the family's 1533-position model. The record is from RNAcentral. Lineage: Bacteria; Bacillati; Bacillota; Clostridia; Eubacteriales; Desulfotomaculaceae.